This 76-nucleotide transfer RNA is filed under the name Vibrio parahaemolyticus. RNAcentral's name for it is "tRNA-Val". It matches the Rfam family "tRNA". Rfam says of the family: Transfer RNA (tRNA) molecules are approximately 80 nucleotides in length. Their secondary structure includes four short double-helical elements and three loops (D, anti-codon, and T loops). Further hydrogen bonds mediate the characteristic L-shaped molecular structure. tRNAs have two regions of fundamental functional importance: the anti-codon, which is responsible for specific mRNA codon recognition, and the 3' end, to which the tRNAs corresponding amino acid is attached (by aminoacyl-tRNA synthetases). tRNAs cope with the degeneracy of the genetic code in two manners: having more than one tRNA (with a specific anti-codon) for a particular amino acid; and 'wobble' base-pairing, i.e. permitting non-standard base-pairing at the 3rd anti-codon position. Lineage: Bacteria; Pseudomonadati; Pseudomonadota; Gammaproteobacteria; Vibrionales; Vibrionaceae. The record is from RNAcentral.
GUUCCCAUAGUGUAGUGGUUAUCACGUCGGCCUAACACGCUGAAGGUCCUCAGUUCGAUCCUGGGUGGGAACAACA